AAAUCAAGAAUCUACUAUUGAUUAAGCUAUAGAGCCCAAAGAGUGUUCGAGUGUUCAAUGAAAUGUCUAUAAACAUAAUGGAAGGGAAGACAAAAAAUUCUCAUCUCUCUGUAUCUACUAUGAAGUGUUCUCUGAUACACAUUAUUGUUAAGUAAAAGAAACAAAGUAUAGAUUACCAUUAAUCUAAAGUGGGAAAAGGGAGACACACACACACACACACACACACACACACACACACACACACAAAGUCCCCCCCUUAUCCAAUUUCACUUUCUACAGUUUCAGUUACCUGCAGUCAACUGUGGUCCAAAAAUUUUAAAUGAGAAAUUCCAGAAAUAAAAAAGUCAUUAAGUUUUAAACUGUGUGUUGUUCUGAGAAGUGUGAUGAAAUCUUGCACCAUCCUGCUCCAAGUGGAAUGUGAACCAUCUCUUUGCCCAGCGUAUCCACGCUGUAUAAACUACUCUUCCAUUAGUCAUCAACAUUAUCUACUCUUGACAUCCAACAAUCAACAUCAUGGCUCAAUGAUCCAGGAUGAACCAAAGCAGAUGAUUCUCCUUCUGUUACAUCAUUAGGUCAGUAGUAGCCUAACACUAUGUCACAAUGCCUUCAUCAUUCACCUCAGUUCAUCUCACCAAGUAAGCAUUUUAUCAUCUCAUUAUCACCACAAAGAUGCAUGAUGAAAUGUAUGAAAUGAUAUAAUGUCUGGGAUUUGCUUGAAAAUAAUCACAGUUGUGGGAGGAAGUAAGAAUACAGACAAAACAACAAACAAGAUUGGGCAGGAGCUGACCGUUGUUUAAGAUGAUCACAGAUAUAAGACGUUCUGACAAAGAU
This 831-nucleotide long non-coding RNA is filed under the name Homo sapiens (human). RNAcentral describes it as "HSALNT0373284". Lineage: Eukaryota; Metazoa; Chordata; Mammalia; Primates; Hominidae. The record is from RNAcentral.